Long non-coding RNA from Oxyura jamaicensis (ruddy duck), 571 nucleotides. RefSeq lists it as uncharacterized. The transcript has 3 exons. NCBI's taxonomy places the organism in Eukaryota, Metazoa, Chordata, Aves, Anseriformes, Anatidae. The record is from RefSeq and is a predicted model, not a curated record.
AUAUGCAAGCAAUCUGAUCAGGAAGACGGUAGAGCAGUUGAACCAUGAAAGAAAGCAAAAAGAGGAGGAAUAGUAUUUUCUCUGUACUGUAACUCCUACCUUAAUUCCUCUUUAUAAUUUCAAGCCUUUGGACAAGCUACUCUUUCUUGCCUUCUCUUUUUUUCUUGUCUUUUUCUCUUCUUUUGUUCCCCUUGGUGGUAGGAUGUAUAAAAAUACUGUGGUUUUUUAAUACUGUUUUGAGAAAUAAAGAGGUAUUAUGGGUAGAGGAUUGUGCAAGUGCUUAUUUGCUAACAUAAAUGGAAGUAUUAAACUUAUUUUCAGAAAGGCAGAAUUCUUAGUAUUCCUUUGAUGCUAAGGAAAUGUACACCUUCAAAAUUAAAAACUCGAGAAUCAGCUUUGAAAAAUCAGUAGAUCUCGAAACUAUCUUGUUGCAGUUUCAGUUUCCUUUUGGUUUACGGAAGUCAUGCACAGAGCCUUUGCAUUAUUGAAUAUUAGUCCAGCUUUAUUAAUUAAAGUUGUGUGUAUUUUAACAUGAAACUUCGUCUAUAUCUAAACAUAUCAAAUUAUUUCU